GUGACAGCUUUGGGCACCAAAAACCUCUGUUUAUACACAGAAGAGAUACAGUACAGACAGUGGCAAUUCAAGCUUCCUUACAGUAAUGCCUUUGCAUAUUAACCCUGACCUGGAGAGAGAAAUAGAAAUGGUGGGUCAUAGUUCUAUGUCUAUUCAAACAUUGUCUAUU
Molecule: small RNA, 169 nt
Filed under: Gopherus agassizii (Agassiz's desert tortoise)
Lineage: Eukaryota; Metazoa; Chordata; Testudines; Testudinidae
Description: TUC338 (ENSGAGG00000010087.1)
Source: RNAcentral